This 270-nucleotide long non-coding RNA is filed under the name Musa acuminata (dwarf banana). RNAcentral's name for it is "long non-coding RNA (MACU_LNC003409)". Lineage: Eukaryota; Viridiplantae; Streptophyta; Magnoliopsida; Zingiberales; Musaceae. The record is from RNAcentral.
AACAACAAAAACAAAAUAACUUUAGGCACAAGGGUGACCGGAAAAGAGGAAAGGACCAUAUUUAUUGAUUGAUGUUAGAGAAACUAAUAGAAGAUGUCAAAAAAAAAACAUAAAAAGAAGGGUGAGCGGAGGGGGAGGAGGUGAUGAGAAGACGGGGUUGAAAUAGGAACCGUGGCGAAGCGAAGAUGUAGCAAAAAGGGGAAACGCUUUUCGUUUUCAUCUUAAUCUUAUUUUCGAAUUGACACCUAUACACUUUAAAAUAAAAAAAAA